UACAACUUUCAACAACGGAUCUCUUGGCUCUCGCAUCGAUGAAGAACGCAGCGAAAUGCGAUAAGUAAUGUGAAUUGCAGAAUUCAGUGAAUCAUCGAAUUUUUGAACGCACCUUGCGCCCCUUGGUAUUCCGAGGGGCAUGCCUGUUUGAGUGUC
This 156-nucleotide ribosomal RNA is filed under the name Sanghuangporus vaninii. RNAcentral describes it as "5.8S ribosomal RNA". It matches the Rfam family "5.8S ribosomal RNA". From Rfam's summary of the family: 5.8S ribosomal RNA (5.8S rRNA) is a component of the large subunit of the eukaryotic ribosome. It is transcribed by RNA polymerase I as part of the 45S precursor that also contains 18S and 28S rRNA. Lineage: Eukaryota; Fungi; Basidiomycota; Agaricomycetes; Hymenochaetales; Hymenochaetaceae. The record is from RNAcentral.